RNAcentral lists this ribosomal RNA (2898 nucleotides) under Neisseria gonorrhoeae. RNAcentral's name for it is "bacterial LSU rRNA". It matches the Rfam family "Bacterial large subunit ribosomal RNA". Lineage: Bacteria; Pseudomonadati; Pseudomonadota; Betaproteobacteria; Neisseriales; Neisseriaceae. The record is from RNAcentral.
AUAGGGUCAAGUGAAUAAGUGCAUCAGGCGGAUGCCUUGGCGAUGAUAGGCGACGAAGGACGUGUAAGCCUGCGAAAAGCGCGGGGGAGCUGGCAAUAAAGCUAUGAUUCCGCGAUGUCCGAAUGGGGAAACCCACUGCAUUCUGUGCAGUAUCCUAAGUUGAAUACAUAGGCUUAGAGAAGCGAACCCGGAGAACUGAACCAUCUAAGUACCCGGAGGAAAAGAAAUCAACCGAGAUUCCGCAAGUAGUGGCGAGCGAACGCGGAGGAGCCUGUACGUAAUAACUGUCGAGAUAGAAGAACAAGCUGGGAAGCUUGACCAUAGCGGGUGACAGUCCCGUAUUCGAAAUCUCAACAGCGGUACUAAGCGUACGAAAAGUAGGGCGGGACACGUGAAAUCCUGUCUGAAUAUGGGGGGACCAUCCUCCAAGGCUAAAUACUCAUCAUCGACCGAUAGUGAACCAGUACCGUGAGGGAAAGGCGAAAAGAACCCCGGGAGGGGAGUGAAACAGAACCUGAAACCUGAUGCAUACAAACAGUGGGAGCGCCCUAGUGGUGUGACUGCGUACCUUUUGUAUAAUGGGUCAACGACUUACAUUCAGUAGCGAGCUUAACCGGAUAGGGGAGGCGUAGGGAAACCGAGUCUUAAUAGGGCGAUGAGUUGCUGGGUGUAGACCCGAAACCGAGUGAUCUAUCCAUGGCCAGGUUGAAGGUGCCGUAACAGGUACUGGAGGACCGAACCCACGCAUGUUGCAAAAUGCGGGGAUGAGCUGUGGGUAGGGGUGAAAGGCUAAACAAACUCGGAGAUAGCUGGUUCUCCCCGAAAACUAUUUAGGUAGUGCCUCGAGCAAGACACUGAUGGGGGUAAAGCACUGUUAUGGCUAGGGGGUUAUUGCAACUUACCAACCCAUGGCAAACUCAGAAUACCAUCAAGUGGUUCCUCGGGAGACAGACAGCGGGUGCUAACGUCCGUUGUCAAGAGGGAAACAACCCAGACCGCCGGCUAAGGUCCCAAAUGAUAGAUUAAGUGGUAAACGAAGUGGGAAGGCACAGACAGCCAGGAUGUUGGCUUAGAAGCAGCCAUCAUUUAAAGAAAGCGUAAUAGCUCACUGGUCGAGUCGUCCUGCGCGGAAGAUGUAACGGGGCUCAAAUCUAUAACCGAAGCUGCGGAUGCCGGUUUACCGGCAUGGUAGGGGAGCGUUCUGUAGGCUGAUGAAGGUGCAUUGUAAAGUGUGCUGGAGGUAUCAGAAGUGCGAAUGUUGACAUGAGUAGCGAUAAAGCGGGUGAAAAGCCCGCUCGCCGAAAGCCCAAGGUUUCCUACGCAACGUUCAUCGGCGUAGGGUAAGUCGGCCUCUAAGGCGAGGCAGAAAUGCGUAGUCGAUGGGAAACAGGUUAAUAUUCCUGUACUUGAUUCAAAUGCGAUGUGGGGACGGAGAAGGUUAGGUUGGCAAGCUGUUGGAAUAGCUUGUUUAAGCCGGUAGGUGGAAGACUUAGGCAAAUCCGGGUUUUCUUAACACCGAGAAGUGAUGACGAGUGUCUACGGACACGAAGCAACCGAUACCACGCUUCCAGGAAAAGCCACUAAGCUUCAGUUUGAAUCGAACCGUACCGCAAACCGACACAGGUGGGCAGGAUGAGAAUUCUAAGGCGCUUGAGAGAACUCGGGAGAAGGAACUCGGCAAAUUGAUACCGUAACUUCGGGAGAAGGUAUGCCCUCUAAGGUUAAGGACUUGCUCCGUAAGCCCCGGAGGGUCGCAGAGAAUAGGUGGCUGCGACUGUUUAUUAAAAACACAGCACUCUGCCAACACGAAAGUGGACGUAUAGGGUGUGACGCCUGCCCGGUGCCGGAAGGUUAAUUGAAGAUGUGCAAGCAUCGGAUCGAAGCCCCGGUAAACGGCGGCCGUAACUAUAACGGUCCUAAGGUAGCGAAAUUCCUUGUCGGGUAAGUUCCGACCCGCACGAAUGGCGUAACGAUGGCCACACUGUCUCCUCCCGAGACUCAGCGAAGUUGAAGUGGUUGUGAAGAUGCAAUCUACCCGCUGCUAGACGGAAAGACCCCGUGAACCUUUACUGUAGCUUUGCAUUGGACUUUGAAGUCACUUGUGUAGGAUAGGUGGGAGGCUUGGAAGCAGAGACGCCAGUCUCUGUGGAGUCGUCCUUGAAAUACCACCCUGGUGUCUUUGAGGUUCUAACCCAGACCCGUCAUCCGGGUCGGGGACCGUGCAUGGUAGGCAGUUUGACUGGGGCGGUCUCCUCCCAAAGCGUAACGGAGGAGUUCGAAGGUUACCUAGGUCCGGUCGGAAAUCGGACUGAUAGUGCAAUGGCAAAAGGUAGCUUAACUGCGAGACCGACAAGUCGGGCAGGUGCGAAAGCAGGACAUAGUGAUCCGGUGGUUCUGUAUGGAAGGGCCAUCGCUCAACGGAUAAAAGGUACUCCGGGGAUAACAGGCUGAUUCCGCCCAAGAGUUCAUAUCGACGGCGGAGUUUGGCACCUCGAUGUCGGCUCAUCACAUCCUGGGGCUGUAGUCGGUCCCAAGGGUAUGGCUGUUCGCCAUUUAAAGUGGUACGUGAGCUGGGUUUAAAACGUCGUGAGACAGUUUGGUCUCUAUCUGCAGUGGGCGUUGGAAGUUUGACGGGGGCUGCUCCUAGUACGAGAGGACCGGAGUGGACGAACCUCUGGUGUACCGGUUGUAACGCCAGUUGCAUAGCCGGGUAGCUAAGUUCGGAAGAGAUAAGCGCUGAAAGCAUCUAAGCGCGAAACUCGCCUGAAGAUGAGACUUCCCUUGCGGUUUAACCGCACUAAAGGGUCGUUCGAGACCAGGACGUUGAUAGGUGGGGUGUGGAAGCGCGGUAACGCGUGAAGCUAACCCAUACUAAUUGCCCGUGAGGCUUGACUCUAU